Molecule: ribosomal RNA, 403 nt
Filed under: uncultured bacterium
Lineage: Bacteria
Description: partial 16S ribosomal RNA
Rfam family: Bacterial small subunit ribosomal RNA
Source: RNAcentral
GACGAACGCGGGCGGCGUGCUUAACACAUGCAAGUCGAACGAGCGGCGGACGGGUGAGUAAUGUAUGGGGACUGCCCGAUAGAGGGGGAUAACUACUGGAAACGGUGGCUAAUACCGCAUACUAUCGGAUAACCCAUAUGGGAUUAGCUAGUAGGUGGGGUAAAGGCUCACCUAGGCGACGAUCUCUAGCUGGUCUGAGAGGAUGAUCAGCGACACUGUGACUGAGACACGGCCCAGACUCCUACGGAGGCAGCGGUGGGGAAUAUUGCACAAUGGGAGGAAGCCUGAUACAGCCAUGCCGCGUGUAUGAAGAAGGCCUUAGGGUUGUAAGGUACUUUCAGCGGGGAGGCGUUACCCGCAGAAGAAGCACCGGCUAACUCCGUGCCAGCAGCCGCGGUAAUUC